GAAAUACAAAAUCCAAUUAAUAAUGUUGAAUUGAAACUCUAUUAAUGUUACGCGCCCAUCUUUCCGGGUUCGCGAGGCCUCAAGAUUUUUCCCUUUUUUGUUAAAACCCUAAUAGGAUUUUUCUCUAAGAAUCAUGGAGCCCCAAUCUAAAAUUUCGAAGGUCGUCCAUGAAGGAGAGUUAUUCAAAACUGUUCGAAGGACACUUCAGAAGCUCUACAACUUGAAAUUGCUGAUUAUUGAGAAACCAUGAAGCUCGUGAGGAGGCGAUACAAGUGGUGGCUGGUGUGAAACUAAACCUCUGGUUGCCUUAAAAGGUAAGUUGACUCUGAGUUCAAAGAUUACUAAACUGUAUUCCAUUUUCUAUUUUGAUGUUUUUUGUAUUUUGUUUCAUUUGUUGACACUUUAUGACGUUGAGUACGUGGAGAAGAUUGAGUUGUUUUUUGGAAAUUUUAGAUGCAAGAAACGCCGCAUCGAACAAGAGGCAGCGGCGAGGUCGCCGGCUCUGGCGCUCGUUGUAAAACUUGUUGAUGGUUACCUUCCGAUGCGAAUCUCAAGCCGGAGAAAUUCUACAAUUUCGCCACCUCUUCCACGUAUCUGCCUUUGGCACGUCUGGUAUCCAUUCCUUUGGCACAUGUCAUGGUGUGUGGGUAUCCUCCUUUCUUUUGGAUCUAUACGAUUUUACCCCAUUUUUAUUUCGUCACUAUGUAAUGAUUGAAAUUUCAUAUUCUUGUCUUUGUCUCUUGUCUAUUAUUGAUAAAGGUCUUCGUGAUAAUAUCAAAGUAAUUUUUUUUUUCUCAUAUUAUUCAAGUUUGCUGUAGCUGUGUGCCAGAUGUAUAAUUUUCUUAUGUUAUGGCUCGUAAAUGAUGAAAAGUUCAUUCCUUUUCUUGGUCAACAUCUUUACUUUGUUUCUUUUUCUUGUAAAUAAUGAGAGAAAUAUACUAUUCUCAUUGUUGUUGUGAUAUUUACUUUUACAUUCUUGAAGGUUGUCGAUGGCACCACGAAUUGCCUGUACCAUCUAUUAGUUUGUAAAAUCAACCACGAAUUGCAUGUACUAUAUCUAUUAGUUUGUAAGAUCAAGUCGUUCAACUUACAAAAGAAAAUAUAAAUUUGGUUGUAUUCAGAGAGACUUGGGAGCAGUGGGGAAGCAGUUGCUGAUCUGAAAUAACUAUUCUCUCUUGCUGAAAAAUUGGUUUUUCAAAUGGCUUCAAUUUGAUGCAUCACUUCUUCGAGAUCUUGCUUACUACACUGAUACUUGAGGUCAGAAUUUCAUGGUUAUUACCAAAUAGAUGUUGAAAUUUACAUCAGUUUAAACUAUGAGUUAGGACCGUUUUUUACCAAAUAGAUAUUUUAAACCCUUUGAUGCUUAAUGUCACUGGAAUAUAAUUUAUGAUUAAUGGUUUGUGUAACAACAUUUUGUAAUAAUUGACAUUAACAAAUAGCAACUGGUGCAAUAGCAUUCAAUGCGUUAGAGAUCCUUUCUGUGGGACACUACAAAAUUUGACAUAUUACAACAUUCACUAGUUAUGAUUUCAAUUGUAGAAGAAUUUUACUGUAGGAAUUAGCAAUGCAUAGAUGGGUGUUGUCUCGAGAUUUCUUUGAGUAUGAAUUUAAGACUAAUUGAUGCACUUCUAACUCAUCUACAUAUCCCUUGCUAUCAAACACCAUUCUUACGCCAUCUUGUGUUGCUUGUAUUACCUUGAGUUCUUAUGAUUUUUUAUAUCACCCAUUCGGAAACACCAAAAAGAAGAAACUAAUCCUAUCAUUAAAGUUUGUUAACCUGCAAAGCCACACAACUUCCCACAAAAGUAAAAGUUUUUUAGUUUUAUGUUAGAACAAACUUGUACAUACUGUGCAAAACCUGAAUAAUUCAGUGAGCUAAAUCUGUGUAGAGACCAAUUUCCGUCGCUCAAAUUCCUUAAGCUGGCGAACAACAUAUUCAUGAGUAGUCUCAACCAUGAAAAGCACCUCAUAUCCCUUCCUUUUAAGCCUUUCCAGGAAGGGGGAGUUCUGAAAAUCAUUUUCCUUUUCCUAAUUCUAAUGUAGUUGUGAUGACAAAAUCCAAUUUAUAGCCACUUUAAUUUGUUUGCAAUGUGUAAUCACACCAUAUGAUGUUACCAGCGAUCCAUGAUGAGAAUAACCACAUAUCAUAGCAUUCCAUAUAACCACAUCCUUUUAUAAUCAUAGUAUAUGAAAAAUCAAUAUUUCCACUCUUGAAUUACAUAUUAAUUUUCUGCUUUGUUAAUGCUCUGCUUUGCAGCUUCAAAUUUAUCUUCAAAUUCAUGAUGUUUGAAUUGUAUGAUGUUUGUAUUCAGCAGAAUUUUGGUCAGAGUUGACUCUGUCGAAUUAGAAAAAUUUUGAUCAUGACCGACUCGAUCAAAUUCAAUCAAAUUUUAGUCAAUAUUGUCGAACUUUGCUGAAUUUCCAUCGAGGUUGAUUGCAUCAAAUUUUGAAGAAUUCGAGUCAAUGUUGACUUGGUCAAAUUCGACCAAAUUUAGGUUGUGGUAGAAAUGACUAAAUUUGGUCAAAUUUUGGUUGUGGUUAAGUCGGUCGAAUUUCGAUUGAGGCUGACUCAUUUGAUUUUGACCAAAUUUUGAUUAGAGUUCACUCAACCGAAUUUCUUGAUCAAAUUUGGUCGAUUUUUGAUCAUGGUUGACUCAGUUGAAUUUAGACAACUCAUUU
Molecule: long non-coding RNA, 2679 nt
Filed under: Vigna radiata
Lineage: Eukaryota; Viridiplantae; Streptophyta; Magnoliopsida; Fabales; Fabaceae
Description: long non-coding RNA (VRAD_LNC003889)
Source: RNAcentral